AUACGUAGGUGGCGAGCGUUGUCCGGAAUUACUGGGUGUAAAGGGCGUGUAGGCGGGAAUGUAAGUCAGAUGUGAAAUACCGUGGCUUAACCACGGGGCUGCAUCUGAAACUAUGUUUCUUGAGUGUCGGAGAGGUAAGUGGAAUUCCUAGUGUAGCGGUGAAAUGCAUAGAUAUUAGGAGGAACACCAGUGGCGAAGGCGACUUACUGGACUGUAACUGACGCUGAAGCACGAAAGCGUGGGGAGC
RNAcentral lists this ribosomal RNA (247 nucleotides) under uncultured bacterium. RNAcentral describes it as "partial 16S ribosomal RNA". It matches the Rfam family "Bacterial small subunit ribosomal RNA", at positions 523 to 769 of the family's 1533-position model. The record is from RNAcentral.